GCCGUAAAUGAUAGCAUUACUACGCUUAUGCCAGAGAACUACAAGCGAAAAGCUUCAAACUCAAAGGACUUGACGGUAUCCCAUAUCGACCUAGAGGAGCCUGUCCUAUAAUCGAUACCCCCCGUUCCACCUAACCAUUACUAGCAAGACUCAGCCUAUAUACCGCCGUCAUCAGCCUACCCUGUGAGGGUCUAAUAGUAAACACAAUAGCUCCAUCAGCUAGUACGUCAGGUCAAGGUGUAGCUAAUGUAGAGGAAGAGAUUGGCUACAUUUUUUAUACUAAAAAAUACGGAAUAUAGUAUGAAACCCCACAUGAAGGCGAAUUUAGCAGUAAAAUUAAGUAAGAGAGCUUAUUUUAACAACGCUCUGGGAUGCGCACACACCGCCCGU
RNAcentral lists this ribosomal RNA (390 nucleotides) under Ophisops elegans (snake-eyed lizard). RNAcentral describes it as "partial 12S ribosomal RNA". It matches the Rfam family "Bacterial small subunit ribosomal RNA", at positions 799 to 1397 of the family's 1533-position model. Lineage: Eukaryota; Metazoa; Chordata; Lepidosauria; Squamata; Lacertidae. The record is from RNAcentral.